AACGGCGGCACGGGGGCAACCCUGGUGGCGAGUGGCGAACGGGUGAGUAAUACAUCGGAACGUGUCCAGUCGUGGGGGAUAACCAGUCGAAAGAUUGGCUAAUACCGCAUGCGCCCGAAAGGGGAAAGCGGGGGACCCAAGGGAAACCGAGGGCCUCGCGCGAUUGGAGCGGCCGAUGUCCGAUUAGCUAGUUGGUGAGGUAACGGCUCACCAAGGCGACGAUCGGUAGCUGGUCUGAGAGGACGACCAGCCACACUGGGACUGAGACACGGCCCAGACUCCUACGGGAGGCAGCAGUGGGGAAUUUUGGACAAUGGGGGCAACCCUGAUCCAGCCAUGCCGCGUGUGUGAUGAAGGCCUUCGGGUUGUAAAGCACUUUCGGACGGAACGAAAUCGCGCGGGCAAAUAUCCAGCGUGGAUGACGGUACCGUAAGAAGAAGCACCGGCUAACUACGUGCCAGCAGCCGCGGUAAUACGUAGGGUGCGAGCGUUAAUCGGAAUUACUGGGCGUAAAGGGUGCGCAGGCGGCUCCGCAAGUCAGGCGUGAAAUCCCCGAGCUUAACUUGGGAAUUGCGUUUGAAACUACGAGGCUCGAGUGUGGCAGAGGGAGGUGGAAUUCCACGUGUAGCGGUGAAAUGCGUAGAUAUGUGGAGGAACACCGAUGGCGAAGGCAGCCUCCUGGG
Molecule: ribosomal RNA, 683 nt
Filed under: uncultured soil bacterium
Lineage: Bacteria
Description: bacterial SSU rRNA
Rfam family: Bacterial small subunit ribosomal RNA
Source: RNAcentral